ACCUGAUUGACGAUGGAUCACCAGUGAGUGGCGGACGGGUGAGUAACACGUAGGUAACCUGCCCCGGAGCGGGGGAUAACAUUUGGAAACAGAUGCUAAUACCGCAUAACAACAAAAGCCACAUGGCUUUUGUUUGAAAGAUGGCUUUGGCUAUCACUCUGGGAUGGACCUGCGGUGCAUUAGCUAGUUGGUAAGGUAACGGCUUACCAAGGCGAUGAUGCAUAGCCGAGUUGAGAGACUGAUCGGCCACAAUGGAACUGAGACACGGUCCAUACUCCUACGGGAGGCAGCAGUAGGGAAUCUUCCACAAUGGGCGCAAGCCUGAUGGAGCAACACCGCGUGAGUGAAGAAGGGUUUCGGCUCGUAAAGCUCUGUUGUUGGAGAAGAACGUGCGUGAGAGUAACUGUUCACGCAGUGACGGUAUCCAACCAGAAAGUCACGGCUAACUACGUGCCAGCAGCCGCGGUAAUACGUAGGUGGCAAGCGUUAUCCGGAUUUAUUGGGCGUAAAGCGAGCGCAGGCGGUUGCUUAGGUCUGAUGUGAAAGCCUUCGGCUUAACCGAAGAAGUGCAUCGGAAACCGGGCAACUUGAGUGCAGAAGAGGACAGUGGAACUCCAUGUGUAGCGGUGAAAUGCGUAGA
RNAcentral lists this ribosomal RNA (640 nucleotides) under uncultured bacterium. RNAcentral's name for it is "bacterial SSU rRNA". It matches the Rfam family "Bacterial small subunit ribosomal RNA", at positions 69 to 694 of the family's 1533-position model. The record is from RNAcentral.